This is a long non-coding RNA of Mus musculus (house mouse), 10763 nucleotides long. RefSeq annotates it as predicted gene 12843. Lineage: Eukaryota; Metazoa; Chordata; Mammalia; Rodentia; Muridae. The record is from RefSeq and is a predicted model, not a curated record. The transcript has 3 exons.
AACACCUGGUGUCCUCAGAGGUCAGAACAGGGAGUCAGAUCCCCUGAACUGGAGUUAUAGAAAGGAGACUAUGGGGCAUGGGGUGGAAGUCAUGUCAGGAAGACUACAGAGAAGACAGGAGAAAAAUCAACAAGACAUCUUACAUGGGAAAUGCCACCACAAAACCAAAUACUAUAUAUAAUAAUUUAGAUUUUUUGAGAGAGAAAAAAAGGGAAAUAUUAAUUUAUGCUAAGUCUACACAUUUGGGGCUGGAAUGUUGUCUGUUGGUAUAUAAUGGCCACAUGUCCGAGUAACCACAAUACAGGAUAACUGCUGAAACAUGGGACACAGGGGUCAUGAGAAGAACUAGAUAAUCUGGGCAGACUCCUCGGAGGAGACACUGUUUCAGUCGGGUGUCGAUGGACAAAUAGAAAUCUGUGGGGUAAAGGAUUGUCAAAGCAGCUUGUCUAGAGAGAAGGAGGAAGAGGGCGUGUCCAGGGUACGGGCAGUUUUAGUUCAGUGGAUGAGGCCAAGACAUUGUGGGACAGAGUCUUACAAACGGAAGCAAGGACUACAAAGUGGAUCCAAAUCAGGGAAUGCCUUGGUGCCAUGCAAGGAGCUUGGACUUAGUUUAUAAAUUGCUUAAUCUGAUUUGUCAUCCAAGAAGGUACUUGGCAAUCCUUGAAUUUGGGAGGCGGAGGUCAAAGGAUUGCAUGGAGUGUGAGGCCAGCUUGAGUUAUACUCUGAGACUCUAUACCAACAAAUCCCGCCCCCCCCAAAAACACCCUGAAAUGUUUGUAUCCAGCAUCACAUAGCUAUAAUACUAGCACUUGAGAAGCAGAGGCAGGAGGACCUCUGUGAGUUUGGGGCCAGACUGGGCAUCAUGGUCUAGAAAGGGGAAUUCUGAGGGGUACCCGGAUAUGCUCUGGACAUUUUCACACCCCCUGAAUCAGCCGCAAAUAAAUACCAGAUAGAAAUGUGUGGGCUUGAGGCGCUCCUCAGAUUCCACAGAAAAUAAAAGAAACACGAUUUUGAGGACGGGGAUGGGCUCAGGGAGUUGAGUCAGUUUCUGCUUGGUGGCUCCUCCCACCUUAUGUGUUCAGGCUGCUGGGAGCAGGGGGUGGGAGACAGGUCUCUGAGGGCAGGCCUCUCCUUGCCUAUCCUUUGGAAGGGAACUCUGUGGACAGGGUUUUGUCACCUUACACCAAAAGUCCCUAGAGUCAGGACUUAUGCCUCCAAUCUUGUUGACUGAUCAGUGCGGUCUUCAAGGAGCCAACUGGGGAUCCCUCUCAAAGUAGGGUUCAUAGGGCUGGAGAGAUGGUUCAGCAGAGAACACUACAGAGGACCCAAGGUUGCUCCUACACACACAGACACACACACACAGACACAGACACACACACACACACACACACACACACACACACACACACACACACACACAUACCUUGCACAAUUUAAAAACAAACUGAUGUCCAUGGAUGCAUGGAUAUUUUUAAUGUGUACUGGUGUUUUACAUAUAUGUAUGUACAAAUAUAUGUAUGCAUGUGCACCAUAUGUGUGUGAAGCCCACAGAGACCAGAGGAGGAUGUUGAAUCCCUAGGGACUGGAUUCUAGAUGGUUGGAAGCCCAGGGUCCUCUGGAAGAGCAGCCAGUGCUCUUAACCACUGAGCCAUGUCUCCAGCCUCUUGGAUUGUGUAUUUUAACCCCACACUGAGGAGAUGCCGGUGGAGGAUAGGGUCUAGCUUACUCUGAGACCUAGAAAAUUUUGCUUUCUUUUUCUGAAUGGUGCUGGAUAGAUCCACGCUAAGCAAGUGCUCUGUCGUGAGUCACAUUUCCAGCCUCCAGCUGUGACUGACACUCCACUCUGGAAGCCUGGUAUCGCAGUGCCAGGCUGUCCACUGGGAGGGAAGAGUUUCUGAGAAGACACCAUUCUUUAGUUCCAGCCAAAGUUGCCUGGACGUCAACAGGGACCCUGGCUGUCUACCCAGGUUGUCAGUCCCUGCUGCUCUGCCCUUCCACGUCAGGGAUCUGGCUUUUGAGGACAGAAAUCUUCAGUGAUCCGGCCUACGCUUCCAGGCUCCUCACAAGACAAGACUUCCGUAAGCUACUCUGCAAUGAACAGGAUUCUUCAAGGUGCUCAGAUCCAGCAGAGCCCUUAAGAACCUGGCAUCUCACCCUAAAAUCCAUUUGCUUAAUAAGGCCCAUCUCCUGACAACUGUGCUUUCUAAGUUAACCGAGGAGCACUGGACAUGAGGCAUCACACACAGCUCCAGCCUCUUCAGGAGGAGUUAGCACCACAGACUUGAAUCUCUCACCGGGAUGCCGGCCACACCCUCCUCACCUGGUAUCUGUCUGAGUGGUGCAGGUCCUCCGUGGCAGAAGAGUGUGGGGAAGCCGUUGGAGAGUCUCCUUCCCUCUUGAUGGAAGCAGACAACAGGAGGGACUGGAAGAAGAAAAGAACACAUGGCCCCAGACCAGCUUGCACAGCCCUGAGCCGGAAGCACACAAUUCUCUCGAAGUCCUCCCAAGCCUGGAAAACCAUGCCAAAUCGCCAGUGACAGCCCAAAGAAAGCAAUUUGGGGAAGAUGGAGCGGUCAUUUAUCCUUCAUCUCUGACUGACCCUUAGGAUGUGACCCGCAUGCGGUGGCCACGCUGUUCAUCCUCCGGCAAGGACCCUAGGAAGCGAGGGGUCUGGUUCCCCAGCUGCUGAUGUGCCAGGGUGUCCUGAUGCACCCGUGGCCCAGGAGCUGGAGGAGAGAAGCGGCCGCAGAGGGCCUGGGGUGGGAUUGGCUCCAAAUGGGACUUCUUCACCGACCGAAGCCCCACGGGAGGCCUGCCAGAAAGAUGUCAGGCAAUGUUCUUCUCCAAUCCCAAGGAAGAUGUUGAGGAAAGAGAACAGCGUGCCACAGAGUGUGGGCCCCCAGACAGUAACAAAGCUUUCCUCUGUCUUUCUCUGUCUCUCUCUCUCUAGGUUAGAAGCCCUGAGAGGCCCCAGCAUUACACCUGGGGCAAGCGGAAUAAAAAAAGGUCACUGGCGCUUUUUAAACAUGGACCAAAAAGCAGUAAAAUGUGUUUUGAAAAAAAAAAAUCCUGGCAUUAAAUCAUGACUUUUUGCCUGGCUCUUCGCCUCAUUAAAAGUGGCCUUUUGGAAGGUAAAAUUAUCAUUGUAAGCGAUAAGAUCUUUAAGAAAAUAAUUCACGGCUUCUUCACCCUUUAAUAUGAUAGCCGCCACCGGCUAAUUUUUUUCUUAAUGGCAACGAGGCCAUCAAUCUUGUCUAAGGGCCCCUCGCCCUCUCCUCCUUCUCCUCCCUCCCUCCUCCCUGCCUGUCCUCUUAGUCUCUCGAUUCCAUUCAACCUUCUGCUUCCUACCUCUUUCUCACAUGACCUGCUUCCCUAGAGCUGAGGUCAAGGCCAAGGGGAAGGCAGAGAUUGUUCAGCUUUGGGGCGUGUGUCUGGAAGUAGGUGAGCAACGGUCCUUUUUUCUGCAUCUAGUGAUCGGUAUGCCAGUGAGAGAGGAUGCAGGAAAGUGUCCGUGCUUAAGACUUAAGAAGGAUAUACUUUCUGACCUAUGGGGUCAUGUCUGUGAGAGGCAGGUAUGGAUGAGGAGCAUCCCUGCCAGGGUUGGUCCUUAGAACACAAGCCCUUCUGGUCUCCAGUGUCUCAGCCGGCCACUCCUACUCAGGUAGAGGUCGCACUGGAAGCUUGGUCGUAACCUUCAUUAUUUCACUAUUCAACACUGUAGUCUGGGCCAAGCAAGGCCUGGGUGGCUGCCGGCCUCUUCCAGUCCACAGCUGCCUGGUUCCCCAUCCCCUUCUCUUCCAGGCCAGGCUGGGUUCUCUGUCCCUCCUGUAGAAGUUAGCUGUGACUUUGUGAGUUUUGAAUGAGUGUGAAGAGUUUGCCUUCUCCCCCUUUAAAGGCCCAAGGGAUGGUUGGCCAAAGUCACGGAGGUGACACUUGUCACUGGCUUCUUUUCCCAAAAUUACCCUCUCAAAGGUCACUGGUCACUUUGGGCCUUUCAAAUCUAUGGGCCCCCUUCACAGCCCGUUUCCUACUGGACUACUGGUGGGUCAGACAUUUUGAAACUGUUUUUCCUCAGGGAACUGGAUGCUCUCCUGUGACCCCCCCCCCCCAACUCCCUUACUUUAUCUUGCUCAAAAGUACAGGAGUCCCUGAGGGGUUCUUAGUAUUUGUUCUCAUUGUCCCCACAUGGCCGCUCACUGACUAACUCUGUUCCCCAAGGUUGAACACCUGCUUCUCAGUCAGCAGGACACACACCAGGGAGUAGUGUGAGGGCUUCAGAGAAAGGGAGCAGUAUCAUGCAGAGGGAGGAAGCCUCUUCCUCUCUCAUCUGCUGCUGGUGGGAAGACAUGUCUGUCAUGGGCUAAGAGGAGAUACUUGUUCUUCUCCAUCUGAUCCACUCAAGUCUCCUUCACAGAUGGAUCCAACAUCAUUUUCUCUGGCUCUUUAUAAAGUGUGUGUGUGUGUGUGUGUGUGUGUGUGUGUGUGUGUAUGUUUACGCUCGCAAGUGCAUGAGAGGAAGAGAGAGAGAGAGAGAGAGAGAGAGAGAGAGAGAGAGAGAGAGAGAACGAGACAGAGCUGGCUUCUGUCUGUACUGAGUUCCCAUACUUUCUUUCACUGUUUACAGCCCACCUUCUUCCUUUGAAUCUCCCCAGAUUGAGUAUCUGUGUUGCCCACACCUCGGGGCCACUUCUGACUCUCACCCCUCUCCUAGCUAGAAGAAGAGAAAGUCAGAAAAUCCUUUCCACAGAUGGAUGCUGCACCCCAACACACCAAGCAUUCCCAGGUAUUAGGCUGACAUUGGAACACAGGCCACAGGUGGCAGUGGGAUCCAAGGGGAGUGCCUUUUUCUCAGGACGAGCCACAUCUUGGUAAGCCUAGGUUGGAAUGGGCAAGAGGGAAACCAUAACUGGCCACCUACCUUGGGGGUGCCCGGAGCCAUGGCAUCCUUCAGAAGGGAAUUUUUGCUGCCAAGAAAGAAAGAGAACAGGGUGACCCAACAUCAUCUUCUCAAGAUUAGCAAGCUAAGCCCAAGAGAAGGCAUGUGCAAGCAUGGCACAGUCUAGCCAGCUCAGUCUAGUUCCAUCCAGUACACACAACCCAGUGGCCUAGGACCUAAAUCAGCUUCUACCAGGUGCCAAGGUCCAUGCUGACCCCUGGGAGGGGACACAGGCGCCAGACCGAGUAUGGGAAGAAAGGGGCUUUACCUAGAAUCAGCCCUGAAGAUUCUUCUCUGUCCUGGGGCUCCCUCCUCAGCACUCCCUGUUCUUAGCCUGCUCUUAGUUCCUACGGGAUUGGGGUGAUGGGGCUGACAUGACUCUUGUCAAUUCUUCCUCCAACACGCUGCAAACUGUGUUAGGCUAGGAACGAUCUCCCCCUGAUUCGAUUUGUCAGCCCCAGGCCCUCCGGCAUCGGGUGGCAGGAGGGAGCUGGGCCCUGAAAUAUGGUGGGCAGUUCAGAGCAGGCGGGGGCUGGGGUGGGAGGUGAUGGAUGGGUUGUGGGGGAGGCAAGGACUGUGUUUAAUAACAAAAUUGGUAUGCAAGGCCACAUCCCACGCUAAGCAUGAGUGACCCAGAGCCACAGAGUAUUACAAAUCCCGCUAAACAGAUGCUGACAAUGGAACAAGACGUAUCAAAUCAGAUCCACUUCAGAAACAUUAAUAUCCCUGUUCCUGCCCCUUCCUGCCCGCUGCCUCCACUAUAACUGCUGCAUCUGUGCUCACACACGAGCACGUGUGCAUCCACGGGCGCACAUGCAUGCACACAAAUACAUGCAUACAGAAGGGUUGUUGAUGCGUACACAGAGGCAGACAUAGCCCAUUUUCAUAGGCACUCCACACAGACACACAUACAAAGCACACAUGUAGACUACAUCCACAGACGCAUAGCCAGAAAGCACGAAAGGACACAGAUACACUGAAAAUAGAAUACACGGGGCAGAUAUGGACUUAGUGAGUAUAUGCAUAAGGAAUAUCUGCAUAUGUGCUCAGGCACCCAUUAGGCCAGACAGAAACGCAUGAUGUGCAAGCAAAAUUAAAUGAAAACAUGGCUAAAGUAGUGACUGUCAGUGGAAUAAGGGAUGUGUGCACUCCUGGGGACAUUUGGCAAUGUCUGAAUUACAUAUACAUAUACGUACGUAUGUCCAUAUAUACAUAUGCACCUAAUAUAUGCUAGACAAAUGUUUCACGACUAAACUACAUUCUAAGCCCCUAGAGAUAGUAUUGAUUGAUUUCUGAUUGUUCGAACUGGGUGUGGAACGGGGGUUGCUACUGGCAUCUAGUGGGUGGAUGGUGUUUAACAACUUAGACUAUCCCAGACAGCCCCCCUCACAGAGAAUUAUUGGACCUAAAAUGUCAAUAGUGCGGAGGUUGAGAAGCCCUGGUCUCAAGGCACAUACACAGACUAUCAUUCUACCAACAGGCACAUAGAUGUGGGCAGUCACACCCAGAGACUCAGACAUGCAUACAGAUGCACAGGGCCACAGGGUCACUUCCAGAGACAUGGUCAUAAAGACAAAUCCACAACAGCCGUGCAGACUGGAUGAAGAACCGUUCACGUACAAAAGUCCACGUGAACACAUGCAGAGAUAGACACCUCUAAAGCACUGCCACACCCAGACACAUGCACACCUACAGAUGUAGGCACUUAAAGGAUCCCAUGCACAUGGCAGGGCAAAAGCCACCAGCCUGCGCAGCACAAUCAGAAUAGAGUCACCAGUCUGUCCAUGCAGCAGGAACAACACCGACUACAAAGGACUGGCAGUCAAGCUUCUCUCAGUUCCAGUGUUCACUAAUGGUCUAUGCCUGGCUCUGAUAUAGGCACCGGGCAUACAGAGGGGGAAGCUGAGGUUUGUUAGUCAUAACUUUGAUCAUUUCUUAAUUUCUUUAUUCAUUCAGUGAAUACACGUGAGCAUCACCAUCCUGCUUACAAAGUGAGCUGUCUGCUAUCCACCACGCUGUCGCCAUACUUGACCCUGGCUGGGAUUUUGCUCUUAUCUUAAGGUGAGAUCAGAAACUGAAGAAAUGAAGAACUUAUUGUGUACCCACUGUAUACUACAGAGACAGAGAGGCCUUGUGAAUGUAAUUUCACCCUAAACUUGACCAAGUUGACAGACAAGACCAAGUGACACCUUUGUGGUCACACAAUCCAUAGAGGGUUUGGAACUCCAGGGUUGUUUGUUUGUUUUGUUUUUUGAAUGCUCCCUCUCUAAAGUUAUGUAGGCUCUAAUGCAUGCAGAACUUUGAUGUGCAACUUUGGGCAGGGUCUUGCCCAUCCUGGGCUCAUCUCCUUUGCUGGUAAGUAGAAUGGGGUCAUUUGGGGUCAGGAUGUCCAGCCUGUGCUCUGGCAAGCGCAUCUUCUGUUCUUAGCAAAGCUAUUCCCCUUGCUUACACAGGGCCAGCUCAGCCUCAGCCUCCUGCCCUGGCUCUGAGCAAUAUCCUCUCCUUCCCUUUCUUCUAUGAACCCCUUUCACAGCAAGUUUUCUUGGCUUUCCGGAGCCUGGAGCCCGGGAGCCUGAUGCGUGGCUUGCCUUGGAGGAGAGAGGUCUAGGUCCUGAGCUGUAAGCAGCCCAGCUACCGCCCAGCCCAGCCCAUCAGCUCUGCCUUCCCACCCCUCCCUGUUUCCACAGCCCGCCCCCAACAAUUUCCUUCCCUGUUCAGUCACUCCCUGCCUAGUGAUCCAUGGGUUUUAAAUUAUAACUGGGACCCAGGAAACGCGUUCCUAAGUACAAUAUUCAUGGGCUGGGCUGACACUUUUAAUUAAGGUGAUUUACACUGAAUUAUCCUUGGAAAUAAAGAAAUGGUGCACUGCCCGGGAAUAAACCAUCAUCACCAGCCGCCUUUGUAAGUUACACUUCGUUUUAAUCUAUUUGGGGAAUUGUUUAUCUAGUUCAUUACCCAACCAAACACCGAGGCCGGCCUUAAAUAAGGCUUAAGUAGGGGUGGGGGCACUGCCAUCUCUACACCCCGCCUCUCCUUAGGAGCUACCCAGUCUCCCUUUAGAUGUUUUUCCAGCCCCUUUAAAGCACCUCCCAGAGGAGGCUGUUUCCCGGCCCAGGGGCCAGCUUUCAUAGGGGAGAUGUCUGAGCUCAGGUCCUACCAGCUAAGCCUGUGAGUGUUCCAUGCCCAGGGCUGUUUCUUCCUCUCUGAGACCACAGAGAGGUCUCAGAGCCCUGCCAUCCUGAGCCCCCAUUUAUGUCCGUGUCUGUCUCUCUAUACACACACAUCUAGCCCCUAGCUGGAAGCCAUCCAGAGGUGCCUCAGCUCACCCAGAGCCCUACCUGUUGCUUCCUCUCUGACUGUGGACAUUACCUCUAACACACUCCCAACCAUUCAAAUCCCAGUUCUCUCCUAGUAAGCACCCUAGGUAAGUCCUUUGGCUUCUCCUUCGUCUUAAUCCACUCUUCUGCAUCCCCCACUUUCAGUGGCUGUCCUUGCAUGGGAGGAAGGCCCUUCUGACUCUGUGUUUGACUCAGAGUUAUGCUUUGUUCUGAGUAGCCAAGCCCUUGGAUUUAAGGAGCCCUUGUUCAGUAAGGUUCUAGGAGGGGAGAGACAGACUCAGGUGAGGUGUAGGAGGGCUGUGGCAGGAACUUGGGAAAGGAUCCCGUUGAGCUGCUGAGAACUCUGCUUUUCCUGUGGGCAUGUGGCUGCUCUUGGUACCUGGGAAUGUUCACCUCUGGGAAGGUGGCUUCUUUCAGGGUGUGUGUGUGUGUGUGUGUGUGUGUACACUGAGCUGUGUGGGAAUGGAGUGUUUGUGCACUGUAUACAUGUGUGUCAAGCCUGUGUUUGUGAAAACCCAGCCUCCUUUGCGUAGGAGCUGUAAGGUCCUUGCUUCUUUUGUGAGCCCCCAGGUGUACAGCAAUAGCACACACAGGACCCGCCUAGGUUGUUGGGCAGUUAGAGGCAGAAGGUUGAAGAACUCCAUCUAGAAAGUUCCAGAAGUAGAACCACCUGGGAGGCUAGCCUGGCAGCAGCACCCAAGGGCUCAGGGCGAGCGAGGCUGAGGAGCGGACAAGAGAGGGAGGGCAAAAGAGGCAAGGGCAGGGUGAUAAGGGGUAUUGGGGCAGGUUGAGAGACGAGGGGAGGAGCCAGCACAGAAAACAAAGGGAGAGGAGCCAGGAAUUCGGCCUGGAGGAAGCAGAGGGCUGGAGAGCUGGGGAGGAGGGGACUUGGUCACAGGUCACCAAUCCAGGAGGCUCACUUUCGGGCUCUUGCCUGGGUGGUGAAGGGGCGACCUCAGUUUCCUCAUCGGUGAACUCGUCCUUCUGUUCAGGAUACUGAUGGUGGGAAGAAGGAAUGUGGGUGGGGUGGAUGGAGCGCAGGAGCUCAGGUGCUUCCGUCUUUCCCCAACCUUCUUUGCCCAUCCUCGGGCUCAUCCCAGAGCCAGCACCGGGCGGGGCAAGGGCAACCAGGCUGGGGACCCUCGCUCACGCUGCCCGUCAGCCCGGAGGGAGCUGACACGCUCCUUGGGAAUUUAUCACGCACCCAAUUACAAUGUUAAUUGGCAAGUUCCUGAAAUCAAUUAAUUCGCAAAUUUUUUCCAAUUAAAAAUCCAGAUAAAUCACAGGGGCGGCGGCGGGGCCGGUCCAGCCCGCAGUCCGGUGGCCGCAGUGGCCGCGGGGAGGGGGCGCGCGUGGGGAGGGGGCGGCGGGUGCGGCUGCCCUUGAACGCCUUUGCCGGCCGGUCCGACUGUCAGCGCGCCGGGCGCGGCGGGGCCGAGACAGAUAAAACCAUCGACCCGUCGCCGCCAGCGCUUCGGCUUUAUCGAUCCGACGGGAAUUUCACUUGCUGUGCAGAUCCCGCUGUCCGGCUGUCAGACACCCGGUGGGGAGGAGGGCGUGCCAGGGGCGCAGGGCGUGCACGUGCUGAGGGCGGCGUGGGCAUUAGGGGGUGCAGGAAUAGGCCCGGACGUGAGCCCACAGCCGCGAGGUGUGGGUGCUCUGAGAAACGUGGAUGAUGAGGGAUUUAUGCAGGGUCACGAGCAGGGAUAGAACGGAAAAGGCGAGGGAGAUGGCCUGGGUGGUGCGGGCUGGGGCGGGGGUCCUUGCCCAGGAGGCAAAAAGAACAUUUCAGCGGGGCAGGCACAGUGCCCAAAUGCGCUCCGCAAGUCCCUGCGUUUUCUGUUCUUGGUUGAGGUUCUCUUCAUUGGAAGCAAAUUACCCAGAAAUCCUGGUACAGCCUGCAAGCUGUUUCUUUCACUUUCUGCCCCUGACAGGUCAAUCCCCCACGGUGUGUAAGUGAUGGGGGAGGGGAGGCGAAGAGCAGAGCGCUGGUGUCAAAACUGCUAGAGACAAACCUUAUGUUUAUUGCCAAGUGGGCAACCUUAGAGAAGUCACUUAACGUGGCUGUGCCUCGGUUUCCUCAUCUAUAAAAUGGGAGUUAUAGCUAUAGUCACACAUCACAAUUAGCAACGGGCUGGCUACAUAUCUGAAAGUUGUCCCGUGAGGUUACAUUGCCUAGUGGCAGUGUAGUUUAAGUACACUCUAUGGUACUCACAUGAUCAAAAAAUGUCUAAGGAUGCAUUUCUUAGCACAUACAUCCAUCAUUAAGCAGUGCAUGACCAUCACAUAGCUAUGUGAAGAAUAGCUCUUGUGAGAUAGUGAAUUUCCAUGCAGUUCAUUAUUAUUACCAUACUAUAGCUUCUGUGGGGCUUUUAAAGUGUGCCCACAGGUUCUUUGGAUACUCUUGUCUUUAAGAAUGAGAGCUUUUAGAGCAUAAUUCUCCUCCCUUGAGUAUGGGCUGGGCUGGAUUGGAAAGAUGGGUCAGCUAA